GUCCAGGGAUGGGAAUCGAACCCACGACCUUCCGCUUACCGGGCAGAUGCCAUGUCCACUAGGCUACCCUGGA
Molecule: non-coding RNA, 73 nt
Organism: Cordylochernes scorpioides
Lineage: Eukaryota; Metazoa; Arthropoda; Arachnida; Pseudoscorpiones; Chernetidae
Source: the annotation of a GenBank genome assembly